UACAGAGGGGUGCAAGCGUUAAUCGGAUUGACUGGGCGUAAAGGGCGCGUAGGUGGUAAGAUAAGUAAGAUGUGAAAUCCCUGGGCUUAACCUGGGAAUGGCAUUUUAAACUGUUUUGCUGGAGUACAAUAGAGGGUAGUGGAAUUUCCGGUGUAGCGGUGAAAUGCGUAGAUAUCGGAAGGAACACCAGUGGCGAAGGCGGCUACCUGGAUUGAUACUGACACUGAGGCGCGAAAGCGUGGGGGAGCAAACAGG
This 255-nucleotide ribosomal RNA is filed under the name uncultured bacterium. RNAcentral's name for it is "partial 16S ribosomal RNA". It matches the Rfam family "Bacterial small subunit ribosomal RNA", at positions 524 to 776 of the family's 1533-position model. The record is from RNAcentral.